This 71-nucleotide transfer RNA is filed under the name Pseudomyrmex feralis. Its description in RNAcentral is "tRNA-Ile". The record is from RNAcentral. Lineage: Eukaryota; Metazoa; Arthropoda; Insecta; Hymenoptera; Formicidae.
AAUGAUAUGCCUGAACUCAAAAGGAUUAUUUUGAUAGAAUAAAUUAUGCAUAUAUUAUGAUGCUUUCAUUA